Transfer RNA from Edhazardia aedis, 82 nucleotides. It matches the Rfam family "tRNA". From Rfam's summary of the family: Transfer RNA (tRNA) molecules are approximately 80 nucleotides in length. Their secondary structure includes four short double-helical elements and three loops (D, anti-codon, and T loops). NCBI's taxonomy places the organism in Eukaryota, Fungi, Microsporidia, Culicosporidae. The record is from Rfam.
GGCAUCAUGGCCGAGCGGUCGAAGGCGGAAGACUCAAGUUCUUCUCUCGCAAGGGGCGGGGGUUCGAAUCCCUCUGAUGUCA